RNAcentral lists this ribosomal RNA (303 nucleotides) under uncultured bacterium. RNAcentral describes it as "partial 16S ribosomal RNA". It matches the Rfam family "Bacterial small subunit ribosomal RNA", at positions 507 to 807 of the family's 1533-position model. The record is from RNAcentral.
AGCAGUCGCCGCGGGAAUACGUAGGGCGCGAGCGUUGUCCGGAAUUAUUGGGCGUAAAGAGCUCGUAGGCGGUUUGUUGCGUCGGCUGUGAAAACCUGCGGCUUAACUGUGGGCUUGCAGUCGAUACGGGCAGACUUGAGUUCGGCAGGGGAGACUGGAAUUCCUGGUGUAGCGGUGAAAUGCGCAGAUAUCAGGAGGAACACCGGUGGCGAAGGCGGGUCUCUGGGCCGAUACUGACGCUGAGGAGCGAAAGCGUGGGGAGCGAACAGGAUUAGAUACCCCGGUAGUCCCUGUCUCUUAUAC